RNAcentral lists this ribosomal RNA (440 nucleotides) under uncultured bacterium. RNAcentral's name for it is "partial 16S ribosomal RNA". It matches the Rfam family "Bacterial small subunit ribosomal RNA", at positions 338 to 795 of the family's 1533-position model. The record is from RNAcentral.
CCUACGGGAGGCAGCAGUAGGGAAUAUUGCUCAAUGGGGGAAACCCUGAAGCAGCAACGCCGCGUGGAGGAUGAAGGUUUUCGGAUUGUAAACUCCUUUUGUUAGAGAAGAUAAUGACGGUAUCUAACGAAUAAGCACCGGCUAACACCGUGCAAGCAGCCGCGGUAAUACGGAGGGUGCAAGCGUUACUCGGAAUCACUGGGCGUAAAGAGCGCGUAGGCGGGAUAGCAAGUCAGCUGUGAAAUCCUAUGGCUUAACCAUAGAACUGCAUUUGAAACUGUUAUUCUAGAGUAUGGGAGAGGUAGGUGGAAUUCUUGGUGUAGGGGUGAAAUGCGUAGAGAUCAAGAAGAAUACUGAUUGCGAAGGCGGCCUGCUAGAACAUAACUGACGCUGAUGCGCGAAAGCGUGGGGAGCAAACAGGAUUAGAUACCCGAGUAGUC